Molecule: unclassified non-coding RNA, 379 nt
Filed under: uncultured Bacteriovoracaceae bacterium
Lineage: Bacteria; Pseudomonadati; Bdellovibrionota; Bacteriovoracia; Bacteriovoracales; Bacteriovoracaceae
Description: contains 16S-23S intergenic spacer region
Source: RNAcentral
UCCUGGUUAACCCAGGCAGUCUCCCUAGAGUGCCCAACUUAAUGCUGGCAACUAAGGAUAGGGGUUGCGCUCGUUGCGAGACUUAACCCAACAUUUCACAACACGAGCUGACGACAGCCAUGCAGCGCCUGUCUCCGCAUUCCCCGAAGGGCACUCCCUCAUCUCUGAAGGAUUCGCGGGAUUUCAAACCCAGGUAAGGUUCUGCGCGUUGCUUCGAAUUAAACCACAUAAUCCACCGCUUGUGCGGGCCCCCGUCAAUUCCUUUGAGUUUUAGUCUUGCGACCGUACUUCCCAGGCGGAGCACUUAAUGCGUUAGCUACGUCACGGCAAGGGUUAAUGCCUGCCACAACUAGUGCUCAUCGUUUACGGCGUGGACUAC